AUGGUUUCAUUAGAAUCGGGUUCUGUGGUGAAUCCCUCCGUGUCUCUGCUCCCUCCGUCUCCUCUGCAGCUGUCUGAAGGAUCGGCCUCGCUGCUCUGCCUGCUGUCUGGCUACUCUCCACAGGGGGCGCUGGUGAGCUGGACAGUGGACGGCUCAGAGGUGAACACCGGGGUUCUGACCAGUGCGGAAGAAGAGAAGAGUGGCCGUUACAGCCGCAGCAGCACCCUGACCCUCAGCAAAGACCUCUGGGAAAAGGGGGAGGAGUUCAGCUGUAAGGUCUCCCAUAACAACGCCAAUCAUCCAGUCACGUUCAGAAAGAGUCAGUGUGAAGGCUAGUGGAUCCAAGCUAGAGUUUAACAUAGAGCUGCUUAUCAUCCAUCCUAAAUAGAGUUUCAGUUCUACACAAUGCUGACAUUUCUGUCUUUACUCUCUUCACUGUCCUGUUGCUCUUCCUGUAGUUUUUGCUGAAAUAAAGCUGAGUUUUGGACGUUGUCUGUUCUUUUAUUCCAGUUAAUAGUGAUGAUCAGUGUGAUGAGAGAGUGGGAUUAGCUGUAGAUUCAGUGCUGUGUGUUGUGCUUCAGUGAGUUUGACUGAAGGAAGUUGAACAUCUGGUGAAAUUUCUGCUCUAUUCUGGGAGAAAUGAAACUCUUCAGUCCUGUUAAUGUAAAUCUCACUUCCUCCUCACUGCUCUCUCUUUAAGUGAGGAUUAAUAUGUAGGCUAUUAUUCUAAUUUUAUCUCUAUCAUGUUUGAAAGUUUAGUCUUCAAUCUUCACAUGAAACACAUUAAAGGUUCUAACUGCAGUCUGCUACAUUUUUUAUUUCCUGCAUCACUGAAUCUGCCUCUCUAAGAACUAUAGCACAUAUAACACCCCCCACACCCCACACCUUCCUGGUCCUGGUAAGAGUGUGAGAUGAUGAACUGGUACCUGUCUCUGUCUAUGGGAGGAUUAUGUUUUGUGAUUUGAUCCUUUAGUAACAGAAGGUCUAUCCUUGAACAAUAAAAUUAAUUACUACUUCUAAUUAGCAUAAAAUUUGAUC
Hemibagrus wyckioides is the source of this 1038-nucleotide non-coding RNA. Lineage: Eukaryota; Metazoa; Chordata; Actinopteri; Siluriformes; Bagridae. The record is from the annotation of a RefSeq genome assembly.